Molecule: ribosomal RNA, 403 nt
Filed under: Verrucomicrobiota bacterium
Lineage: Bacteria; Pseudomonadati; Verrucomicrobiota
Description: Verrucomicrobia bacterium partial 16S ribosomal RNA
Rfam family: Bacterial small subunit ribosomal RNA
Source: RNAcentral
UGGGGAAUAUUGCACAAUGGGGGAAACCCUGAUGCAGCGACGCCGCGUGAGCGAAGAAGGCUUUCGAGUCGUAAAGCUCUGUCCUAUGAGAAGAUAAUGACGGUAUCAUAGGAGGAAGCCCCGGCUAACUACGUGCCAGCAGCCGCGGUAAUACGUAGGGGGCUAGCGUUGUCCGGAAUCACUGGGCGUAAAGGGUUCGCAGGCGGAAAUGCAAGUCAGGUGUAAAAGGCAGUAGCUUAACUACUGUAAGCAUUUGAAACUGCAUAUCUUGAGAAGAGUAGAGGUAAGUGGAAUUUUUAGUGUAGCGGUAAAAUGCGUAGAUAUUAAAAAGAAUACCGGUGGCGAAGGCGACUUACUGGGCUCAUUCUGACGCUGAGGAACGAAAGCGUGGGUAGCAAACAGG